GUUGCGACACCUUAAGGGUUUCGCGUGAUGGAAUGAGUGGAGAGAUGAAAUCAAAUUGAAAAUCGAUUAUUUCUAUAAAAAAAUGGUACGAAAAAAUAUGUGGGUAGGAAAAAAAAACAAAUUUGGGUACGAAAACAAAUUUGAGUACGAUAAAAAGGGUACAAACAAAAUAAGGGAACGAAAAAAACUAUUUUGGUACGAAAAAAAUGGGUACAAAUAAAAAAUAAGGUACGAAAAAAUUUGUGUACGAAAAAAAAAUGAGUACGAACAAAUGGGUACGAAGAAAUUUGGGUACGAACAAAUUUGUGUACGAAAAAAUUGGGUACAAAAAAAUGUGGGUACGAAAAAAAAAUUGGUUAUGAAAAAAAAUUAGGGUACGAAAAACUAUUUGGGUACGAAAAAAAAGGUUCAAAUAAAAAUUUGGGUACAAAAAAAAUUGGGAACAAAACGAAUUUGGGUACGAAAAAAAUUUGAGUACGAACAAAUGGGUUCAAAGAAAUUUGGGUUCGAACAAAUUUGUGUAAAAAAAAAAUUGGGUACGAAAAAAAAUUUGGUUAUGAAAACCUAUAGGGAACGAAAAAAUUAGGGUACAAAAAACUAUUUGGGUACGAAAAAAAAGGGUACAUAUAUAAAUUUGGGUACAAAAAAAAUUGGGUACGAAACAAAUUUGUGCACCGACGGACAGACGAAGCGGCGACUAUAUGCUCCCCCUAAAAAAUUUGGGGGGGAGCAUAAUAAACAAGUUAUGGCAAUUUAAAGGUGGUACGCAAACUUAAUAAUAGAUUUAUCAAUUAUAUGCUUAUUCUAAGUGAAGAAAAGGCCAUAAUUGUUACAAAAUGCUUGAUACAGUUAUCUGCUCUUGUUUAUACAUUGGGGUCAUGUUGGUUAAUAAGCAAAAUACAUGGUGUAUGAACGCAAUAUGUCAAGGGACAUAAAAAAUAUUUGAGGUCAUAUGCAAACUUUAACAUAGAUUUAUCAAUAAUAUGCAUAUUAUUCUAAGUGAAAAAGGGCCUAAUUCUGUUAAAAUGCUUGAUACAGUAAAUGAGUUGUCUGCUCUUGUUUAUAGAUUGGGUUUAUGUCGGUAAUGAAGUAUGCAAAAUAUAAAAGCAAUAUGUCAAUGGACAUAGGAAAUAUAUUUGAGGUGGUACGCAAACAUUCCAAUGCGCAAGCCGACGCCGGGUUGAGUAGGAUAGCUCGACUAUAUAUAUUUCAUAUAUAACAGUCAAGCUAAAAUGUAAAUAUACCAUAAACAACAGGCUAACCUCAAUCACAACUUUAAUGCAAUGCUUAUAACAAUAGAGAUACAAUGAUAUGCCAGGGAUUGAAACUAACUGUUUACUAUUGUGGGCAACCAUCUUUAGUAUUUUGGUUGCCCAGAUAAAGAAUAACGAGCCCAGAAAUAUGAACAUGUGAAUAUUAUACAUUCUUUUAAUAAAAUAAUAGAUAAUUAAAUACAUUUGCUGACAACACAUGUUCAAUGCAUGAUGUUUUAUUAUGAGCCUGAAUUGAAUCAUGUCCUAUUCCUAAAUAAUGAAUGUUAUUUAACUAGUAUUGAUCCAUGGUGAUCAAUUGUUUUUCAAUUUUUAUUGCAGUGAAUUGUUUUAAGCUUUAAAAAAAAGAAGUUUACCAACUUUUGAAAUUGAGUUGCCCAGGCCAAAAUCUACUUGCCCCGGGUUCACGGUAAACCACUUAUUUCCAUCCCUGUAUGCUCUUCAUUUUCUGUUCUUCCAUCGCAUUCUCAAAAUUAAAUUUAAAGCCGAUAUUUUUUAAUAACAUUAGUAUGAAUUACUAACCAUUAUCACCCAAAAAACAAUUUUACAAAGCUGUAAUCCCGUCGUAGAGAUUUAGUUUACUAUUAUCAGUGUUCUCUUUAAAUACCGGCUGCUAGCGAUCUUGCCGGUUACAUUAACUCUUGAUGCCGGCUACUUUUCCCAAAUAUAUCAAGUAAAUGUCACAAAUGCUUUGGUUUUACUGCAUAGUUGCCGGCCAUAUAACUGGCUACUCAAAUUUUUCUGGAAAACACUGAACUAUGCAUGACAAACACACAAAAAUUAAAUACAUCUUAGAUUCAUUGUAAAAAAUAAAUUGACACUUCCAGCUUGUCGUCACUAAAAUCCAAAGAUUCAAAUAAUUUUCCAAGAGAUACGUCAACAAUUGCGUAAUCAAAUGAAUGAAAAAUAAAAGUAAAGAAAGCCGGAUUUUACAUAAAUUUCAGGUUGAAACACAACAAGGUAAAGGUAGUCGGUGAGAUAUUAUAAUAAUACAGUUAGUAAGGCUCGUACCCUGGGUACGGUAAAUAUACUAAAACAUACCCGGGAAUUUUAACACUAAAUCGGUUGUUGUCGGCUAUUUUGUAAAAAUUAAUUAUGUUUACAUUUAUGUCAAUUUUCUUUUAAAUGGCAUUUAUACAAUGUAUUAUCAAAACUCAUUUUUACAAUCAUUAAUGUGAUUCAAUUUAAAAUCUUAAAUUGUUUAAAGUUGCGUCAUUGUAUGACGUUGUCAAGUAUAUUUUCCGCGAUGUCGCACGUUCAUUUUUUUCCGUCAUAGAUUUUUUUAAAGAAACAUUUUUUGGUUUGCGAGGUCCGUUAAAUGGGGAACACCAUAUUUGGUAUUUAUAUUAUGUUUUAACAAAUAAUUCAUGCUGUGUAAUAAAUAUUGUAUAAGAUAUUUCGAUAUUUAUUGAAAAUGUUUCAAAUUGUUAUUUAUGAAACCUUUUAUUCUAAUGAGUGUAUGCUAUCAUAUUAUACUUCGAAUAGCAGAUCUGUUGUACUAUAAUCGUAUUAUUCAUUCUUUAUUGUUAAUUUCAUUUAUUGUAGAGAAUCGUCAAUGUUACAUCUAGUCGCCAAUCCUUGUCGUUAGUGUUAGUUUUCAAUGCUUGUUAUCAUUGCCGUCAAUGUUAGUCGUCAAUCCUUAUGGUCAUUAUACAUGAAGGAAAUAAAAGCAGAAACAGA
Molecule: long non-coding RNA, 2951 nt
Organism: Dreissena polymorpha
Lineage: Eukaryota; Metazoa; Mollusca; Bivalvia; Myida; Dreissenidae
Exons: 2
Source: RefSeq, a predicted model, not a curated record